UGGGGAAUCUUCCGCAAUGGACGAAAGUCUGACGGAGCAACGCCGCGUGAGUGAUGACGGCCUUCGAGUUGUAAAGCUCUGUUAAUCGGGACGAAUGGUUCUUGUGCGAAUAGUGCGAGGAUUUGACGGUACCGGAAUAGAAAGCCACGGCUAACUACGUGCCAGCAGCCGCGGUAAUACGUAGGUGGCAAGCGUUGUCCGGAAUUAUUGGGCGUAAAGCGCGCGCAGGCGGAUUGGUCAGUCUGUCUUAAAAGUUCGGGGCUUAACCCCGUGAUGGGAUGGAAACUGCCAAUCUAGAGUAUCGGAGAGGAAAGUGGAAUUCCUAGUGUAGCGGUGAAAUGCGUAGAUAUUAGGAAGAACACCAGUGGCGAAGGCGACUUUCUGGACGAAAACUGACGCUGAGGCGCGAAAGCCAGGGGAGCGAACGGGAUUAGAUACCCCGGUAGUCCUGGCCGUAAACGAUGGGUACUAGGUGUAGGAGGUAUCGACCCCUUCUGUGCCGGAGUUAACGCAAUAAGUACCCCGCCUGGGGAGUACGACCGCAAGGUUG
RNAcentral lists this ribosomal RNA (550 nucleotides) under uncultured bacterium. Its description in RNAcentral is "bacterial SSU rRNA". It matches the Rfam family "Bacterial small subunit ribosomal RNA", at positions 355 to 896 of the family's 1533-position model. The record is from RNAcentral.